This is a long non-coding RNA of Micropterus salmoides (largemouth bass), 225 nucleotides long. RefSeq lists it as uncharacterized. The record is from RefSeq and is a predicted model, not a curated record. The transcript has 3 exons. Lineage: Eukaryota; Metazoa; Chordata; Actinopteri; Centrarchiformes; Centrarchidae.
ACAGCUCUGAGAUCAGCUCCACUGUCAGACACAAAGUCAAGUCCACCAUCAUCCCUGUGUAUUCCUCUGGAUGUGACAGAGUAUCAUCAGUGUAUCUGGUGUAUUUAGGGCCCGAGCACGACCGUGCGAGGUCCCUAUUGAAUUUGCUCGGAUUAUAUAUAUAUUUUUUUUUUUUUUUUUUUCUGCAAAGUAGGCCCAAAUGACAUGGCCUAAACAUACUCGAAA